RNAcentral lists this ribosomal RNA (837 nucleotides) under uncultured bacterium. Its description in RNAcentral is "bacterial SSU rRNA". It matches the Rfam family "Bacterial small subunit ribosomal RNA", at positions 93 to 917 of the family's 1533-position model. The record is from RNAcentral.
GAGUUGCGAACGGGUGAGUAACGCGUAGGUAACCUGCCUGGUAGCGGGGGAUAACUAUUGGAAACGAUAGCUAAUACCGCAUAAGAACAUUUACUGCAUGGUAGAUGUUUAAAAGGUGCAAAUGCAUCACUACCAGAUGGACCUGCGUUGUAUUAGCUAGUAGGUGAGGUAACGGCUCACCUAGGCGACGAUACAUAGCCGACCUGAGAGGGUGAUCGGCCACACUGGGACUGAGACACGGCCCAGACUCCUACGGGAGGCAGCAGUAGGGAAUCUUCGGCAAUGGGGGGAACCCUGACCGAGCAACGCCGCGUGAGUGAAGAAGGUUUUCGGAUCGUAAAGCUCUGUUGUUAAGGAAGAACGAGUGUGAGAAUGGAAAGUUCAUACUGUGACGGUACUUAACCAGAAAGGGACGGCUAACUACGUGCCAGCAGCCGCGGUAAUACGUAGGUCCCGAGCGUUGUCCGGAUUUAUUGGGCGUAAAGCGAGCGCAGGCGGUUAGAUAAGUCUGAAGUUAAAGGCAGUGGCUCAACCAUUGUAGGCUUUGGAAACUGUUUAACUUGAGUGCAGAAGGGGAGAGUGGAAUUCCAUGUGUAGCGGUGAAAUGCGUAGAUAUAUGGAGGAACACCGGUGGCGAAAGCGGCUCUCUGGUCUGUAACUGACGCUGAGGCUCGAAAGCGUGGGGAGCGAACAGGAUUAGAUACCCUGGUAGUCCACGCCGUAAACGAUGAGUGCUAGGUGUUAGGUCCUUUCCGGGACUUAGUGCCGCAGCUAACGCAUUAAGCACUCCGCCUGGGGAGUACGACCGCAAGGUUGAAACUCAAAGGAAUUGACGGC